UAUCAUUAACUGAAUCCAUAGGUUAAUGAGGCGAACCGGGGGAACUGAAACAUCUAAGUACCCCGAGGAAAAGAAAUCAACCGAGAUUCCCCCAGUAGCGGCGAGCGAACGGGGAGGAGCCCAGAGCCUGAAUCAGCAUGUGUGUUAGUGGAAGCGUCUGGAAAGGCGCGCGAUACAGGGUGACAGCCCCGUACACAAAAGCGCAUGUGCUGUGAGCUCGAUGAGUAGGGCGGGACACGUGGUAUCCUGUCUGAAUAUGGGGGGACCAUCCUCCAAGGCUAAAUACUCCUGACUGACCGAUAGUGAACCAGUACCGUGAGGGAAAGGCGAAAAGAACCCCGGCGAGGGGAGUGAAAAAGAACCUGAAACCGUGUACGUACAAGCAGUGGGAGCCCCACCACCAAAGCAUUUGCUGUACCGCGUUGACGGAGCGAAGCGACGUCAAACCGAUAAAACAGCAGUGUAAAGUGAGCCGCAGGGCGCUUUGCGCGACAGCGCAAAGGCAGGCGGUUUCGCGUAGCGAAAGCGAAUGCUUUGGGGUGGGGUGACUGCGUACCUUUUGUAUAAUGGGUCAGCGACUUAUAUUCUGUAGCAAGGUUAACCGAAUAGGGGAGCCGGAGGGAAACCGAGUCUUAAUUGGGCGUUAAGUUGCAGGGUAUAGACCCGAAACCCGGUGAUCUAGCCAUGGGCAGGUUGAAGGUUGGGUAACACUAACUGGAGGACCGAACCGACUAAUGUUGAAAAAUUAGCGGAUGACCUGUGGCUGGGGGUGAAAGGCCAAUCAAACCGGGAGAUAGCUGGUUCUCCCCGAAAGCUAUUUAGGUAGCGCCUCGUGAAUUCAUCUCCGGGGGUAGAGCACUGUUUCGGCUAGGGGGCCAUCCCGGCUUACCAACCCGAUGCAAACUGCGAAUACCGGAGAAUGUUAUCACGGGAGACACACGGCGGGUGCUAACGUCCGUCGUGAAGAGGGAAACAACCCAGACCGCCAGCUAAGGUCCCAAAGUCAUGGUUAAGUGGGAAACGAUGUGGGAAGGCCCAGACAGCCAGGAUGUUGGCUUAGAAGCAGCCAUCAUUUAAAGAAAGCGUAAUAGCUCACUGGUCGAGUCGGCCUGCGCGGAAGAUGUAACGGGGCUAAACCAUGCACCGAAGCUGCGGCAGCGACACUGUGUGUUGUUGGGUAGGGGAGCGUUCUGUAAGCCUGCGAAGGUGGCCUGUGAGGGUUGCUGGAGGUAUCAGAAGUGCGAAUGCUGACAUAAGUAACGAUAAAGCGGGUGAAAAGCCCGCUCGCCGGAAGACCAAGGGUUCCUGUCCAACGUUAAUCGGGGCAGGGUGAGUCGACCCCUAAGGCGAGGCCGAAAGGCGUAGUCGAUGGGAAACGGGUUAAUAUUCCCGUACUUGGUGUUACUGCGAAGGGGGGACGGAGAAGGCUAUGUUGGCCGGGCGACGGUUGUCCCGGUUUAAGCGUGUAGGUGUGUGUUCCAGGUAAAUCCGGUUCACUUUAACACUGAGGCGUGACGACGAGGCACUACGGUGCUGAAGCAACAAAUGCCCUGCUUCCAGGAAAAGCCUCUAAGCAUCAGGUAACAUCAAAUCGUACCCCAAACCGACACAGGUGGUCAGGUAGAGAAUACCAAGGCGCUUGAGAGAACUCGGGUGAAGGAACUAGGCAAAAUGGUGCCGUAACUUCGGGAGAAGGCACGCUGACACGUAGGUGAAGUGAUUUACUCAUGGAGCUGAAGUCAGUCGAAGAUACCAGCUGGCUGCAACUGUUUAUUAAAAACACAGCACUGUGCAAACACGAAAGUGGACGUAUACGGUGUGACGCCUGCCCGGUGCCGGAAGGUUAAUUGAUGGGGUCAGCGCAAGCGAAGCUCCUGAUCGAAGCCCCGGUAAACGGCGGCCGUAACUAUAACGGUCCUAAGGUAGCGAAAUUCCUUGUCGGGUAAGUUCCGACCUGCACGAAUGGCGUAAUGAUGGCCAGGCUGUCUCCACCCGAGACUCAGUGAAAUUGAACUCGCUGUGAAGAUGCAGUGUACCCGCGGCAAGACGGAAAGACCCCGUGAACCUUUACUAUAGCUUGACACUGAACAUUGAGCCUUGAUGUGUAGGAUAGGUGGGAGGCUUUGAAGUGUGGACGCCAGUCUGCAUGGAGCCGACCUUGAAAUACCACCCUUUAAUGUUUGAUGUUCUAACGUGGACCCGUUACCCGGGUUGCGGACAGUGUCUGGUGGGUAGUUUGACUGGGGCGGUCUCCUCCUAAAGAGUAACGGAGGAGCACGAAGGUUGGCUAAUCCUGGUCGGACAUCAGGAGGUUAGUGCAAUGGCAUAAGCCAGCUUGACUGCGAGCGUGACGGCGCGAGCAGGUGCGAAAGCAGGUCAUAGUGAUCCGGUGGUUCUGAAUGGAAGGGCCAUCGCUCAACGGAUAAAAGGUACUCCGGGGAUAACAGGCUGAUACCGCCCAAGAGUUCAUAUCGACGGCGGUGUUUGGCACCUCGAUGUCGGCUCAUCACAUCCUGGGGCUGAAGUAGGUCCCAAGGGUAUGGCUGUUCGCCAUUUAAAGUGGUACGCGAGCUGGGUUUAGAACGUCGUGAGACAGUUCGGUCCCUAUCUGCCGUGGGCGCUGGAGAACUGAGGGGGGCUGCUCCUAGUACGAGAGGACCGGAGUGGACGCAUCACUGGUGUUCGGGUUGUCAUGCCAAUGGCACUGCCCGGUAGCUAAAUGCGGAAGAGAUAAGUGCUGAAAGCAUCUAAGCACGAAACUUGCCCCGAG
RNAcentral lists this ribosomal RNA (2770 nucleotides) under Salmonella enterica subsp. enterica serovar Enteritidis. RNAcentral's name for it is "partial 23S ribosomal RNA". It matches the Rfam family "Bacterial large subunit ribosomal RNA". The record is from RNAcentral. Lineage: Bacteria; Pseudomonadati; Pseudomonadota; Gammaproteobacteria; Enterobacterales; Enterobacteriaceae.